Non-coding RNA from Legionella sp., 121 nucleotides. NCBI's taxonomy places the organism in Bacteria, Pseudomonadati, Pseudomonadota, Gammaproteobacteria, Legionellales, Legionellaceae. The record is from Rfam.
CCAUCUAUGCCACUAGAUGAACCUAGGAUCAUGAAUAAAGUAGCUGAUCUGACAAUGUAACGAAGGAAUUUUUUUCCGGGAAUCAAAUCGUGAGCGAGUAGGGUCAGAUCUUGCCCUUUGC